This 324-nucleotide ribosomal RNA is filed under the name Triticum aestivum (bread wheat). RNAcentral describes it as "partial small subunit ribosomal RNA". Lineage: Eukaryota; Viridiplantae; Streptophyta; Magnoliopsida; Poales; Poaceae. The record is from RNAcentral.
AUGAUCCAGCGGUGGCAGCAAGAGGCAGUCCAUGAUGAAUCUAUGGUAUUGGAAGUUUUGGGUUCCUCGGAAUUAUUGGUGCUUAUCUACAAAGUUGAUUAUGCUUAUCAUUCUAGAUUUUCUGAUUCUCAGUCGAACAAUACCCUAGAUAACUACACGGUGGAUGCUAUUCAUUAUGUAAGGUAUUGGAAGUUUUGGGUUCCUUGGAAUUAUUGGUGCUUAUCUACAAAGUUGAUUAUGCUUAUCAUUCUUGAUUUUCUGAUUCUCAGUCAGAACAAUACCCUUGAUAACUACACGGUGGAUGCUAUUCAUUAUGUAAAGUGA